Molecule: transfer RNA, 74 nt
Filed under: Synergistes jonesii
Lineage: Bacteria; Thermotogati; Synergistota; Synergistia; Synergistales; Synergistaceae
Rfam family: tRNA
About the family: Transfer RNA (tRNA) molecules are approximately 80 nucleotides in length. Their secondary structure includes four short double-helical elements and three loops (D, anti-codon, and T loops).
Source: Rfam by way of RNAcentral
GUGAGUGUAGCUCAACUGGUUAGAGUCCUGGAUUGUGGUUCCAGUUGUUGCGGGUUCGAGUCCCGUCACUCACC